Molecule: unclassified non-coding RNA, 329 nt
Filed under: plant metagenome
Description: partial contains 5.8S ribosomal RNA, internal transcribed spacer 2, and large subunit ribosomal RNA
Rfam family: 5.8S ribosomal RNA (bases 1-105)
Source: RNAcentral
AAAAUGCGAUAAGUAAUGUGAAUUACAGAAUUCAGUGAAUCAUCGAAUCUUUGAACGCACAUUGCGCCCGCCAGUAUUCUGGCGGGCAUGCCUGUCUGAGCGUCAUUUCAACCCUCGGGACCCCGUUCGCGGGACCCGGCGUUGGGGAUCAGCCCGAAGCCCCCAGGGCGGGCGGCUGGCCCCGAAAUCUAGUGGCGGUCCCCCCAGCGACCUCCUCUGCGCAGUAGUAACUCACCUCGCAGCUGGACAGCGGGAGGGCCACGCCGUAAAACCCCCAACUUCUCAAAGGUUGACCUCAGAUCAGGUAGGAAUACCCGCUGAACUUAAGC